RNAcentral lists this ribosomal RNA (481 nucleotides) under uncultured bacterium. RNAcentral describes it as "partial 16S ribosomal RNA". It matches the Rfam family "Bacterial small subunit ribosomal RNA", at positions 30 to 507 of the family's 1533-position model. The record is from RNAcentral.
UUGCACGCUGGCGGCAUGCCUUACACAUGCAGGUCGAACGGUAACGGGCCUUCGGGUGCCGACGAGUGGCGAACGGGUGAGUAAUACAUCGGAACGUGCCCGAUCGUGGGGGAUAACGAGGCGAAAGCUUUGCUAAUACCGCAUACGAUCUACGGAUGAAAGCAGGGGACCGCAAGGCCUUGCGCGGACGGAGCGGCCGAUGGCAGAUUAGGUAGUUGGUGGGAUAAAAGCUUACCAAGCCGACGAUCUGUAGCUGGUCUGAGAGGAUGAUCAGCCACACUGGGACUGAGACACGGCCCAGACUCCUACGGGAGGCAGCAGUGGGGAAUUUUGGACAAUGGGCGCAAGCCUGAUCCAGCCAUGCCGCGUGCAGGAUGAAGGCCUUCGGGUUGUAAACUGCUUUUGUACGGAACGAAAAGCCUUCUUUUAAUACAGGAGGGUCAUGACGGUACCGUAAGAAUAAGCACCGGCUAACUACGUG